CGGAGGGAGCUCACCGCCUGGCAUUUCCAGCGCCUGUGAACUGCGGCCUGAGAGGGGCCGCCUCCUGGGGAGGGUCCAGACCGCUGGCCUAGCACCUGUCAAGGCACCAUAGAGGCCCUGUGGCAGCCCUGAGAGGAGGACAGUUGUGAGCCCAUUUCACGGACGGGGAAAUAGAGGCCAAGUGCGAGGAGGUGCCCUCCCUCCAGAGGCUCCCAGCUGGGGCGCGGCGGGCGGAGGCGUGAGGUAAACAAACGCCGGGACCGCCGGCCUCUGUGCUGGAGAGAGGCGUGAACCUGGAGGUCUGAGCAGGGGCACCCGCAGGCUUGCACCCCGGUGACGCCCACUGUGGGCCUCGGAUGGCCUACACAGCAGGCCCUGUCCGGGUGGGCACCUCCGUGCCUCGCCCGCCAGUCUGGCGUUCACGAGCUCCCCUACCAUGACCCAGGGCGACCCUCGAUGGACCGCGUCACAGGUCACUGCAUCUGGAGCACCGGUGACCCUCAUGGGGCUUCCUGUCUGCCCCCUGCCCCGGCUCAGGCCUGCUGGGGGACGUGCAGGGGUGAGGCUGGGAGCUCAGGGCUCAUUUCACAGUCCAGCCUUUGGGCCACCAGUGGCAGGCCCCCUGCACAGCGACCAGGGCCUGCACUGUGAGACCCGCGGGGCACUCAGUGGGGACGGGGGUGGGGGCAGUGCAUGACUCAGGGUCUCCACAGACAUGACCCAGUGGCAUCUCACGCUCAGGCUGAGUCAGUCCGCUCUUGAGGGUUGGGGGUUCACCACAGCCCUAAACACAGGCGCAUGUCUCACCAGAAGCUGGGACCAGCUGGUGUGCAUGGGCAGGCCACACGUGGGGGUCGGUCCGUGUGCACCGUGAUGUGUCUCUGCCGCCGCCAUCUCUACCUGAGGCCUGACGGGCACCCAUUCCUGCCUCCGCGGUGCCUCUGGGACGCCCACCCAGCCUCCACGAUGAGAAAGGCCAGUGGCCGAGCCGUGCCCCAAGCCCUUUCCUGGUCCCUUGGGCGGCCUCCUCGAAGAGCCGUGUCCCAGGACACAACCAUGUUGCAGCGGCCGACGGCCUCGGUGCUUUCCAGGCUGACCCGCUUCCCCCGGCGCACUGGCCUCACCGCAUCCCCUGCUCGCCCACGCACGGACCCACGGCACUGCUGGACAUGUGCCUCCGCCUCUCCCGCUGACGUCUCCACAGCCGAAGGACUGGGUCCCCUGGUGACGCGGGGCUUCGUCUGCAAGGAGGCCACCCCAGGCCACGAGGGGCUGUGGCCGCAGAGCAAGGACACCGCCGUGGACCUCGGGCCGCUCUGGCAGGGCCGGGACCCCAUCGGCCUGCCUACCAUGUGGCCACCAGGCCAGGGGAAGGCAGCAGCCCGGGGUCUGCCUCCUGCUCCACAUGGGGCCCCGGACACAAGAUAAAUCACCAGAUAAUGAAAUGAGGUCAUGAAUUGAA
Mustela lutreola (European mink) is the source of this 1462-nucleotide long non-coding RNA. RefSeq lists it as uncharacterized. Lineage: Eukaryota; Metazoa; Chordata; Mammalia; Carnivora; Mustelidae. The record is from RefSeq and is a predicted model, not a curated record. The transcript is spliced from 2 exons.